UAGCAUAUCAAUAAGCGGAGGAAAAGAAACCAACAGGGAUUGCCCUAGUAACGGCGAGUGAAGCGGCAACAGCUCAAAUUUGAAAUCUGGCUCUUUCAGAGUCCGAGUUGUAAUUUGCAGAGGGCGCUUUGGCAUUGGCAGCGGUCUAAGUUCUUUGGAACAGGACGUCACAGAGGGUGAGAAUCCCGUAUGUGGUCGCUAGCCUUUGCUGUGUAAAGCCCCUUCGACGAGUCGAGUUGUUUGGGAAUGCAGCUCUAAAUGGGAGGUAAAUUUCUUCUAAAGCUAAAUACUGGCCAGAGACCGAUAGCGCACAAGUAGAGUGAUCGAAAGAUGAAAAGCACUUUGGAAAGAGAGUCAAAUAGCACGUGAAAUUGUUGAAAGGGAAGCGCUUGCAGCCAGACUUGCCUGUAGUUGCUUAUCCGGACUUUUGUCCGGUGCACUCUUCUGCGGGCAGGCCAGCAUCAGUUUGGGCGGUUGGAUAAAGGUCUCUAUCACGUACCUCUCUUCGGGGAGGCCUUAUAGGGGAGACGUCAUGCAACCAGCCUGGACUGAGGUCCGCGCAUCUGCUAGGAUGCUGGCGUAAUGGCUGUAAGCGGCCCGUCUUGAAACACGGACCAAGGAGUCUAACAUCUAUGCGAGUGUUUGGGUGUCAAGCCCAUACGCGUAAUGAAAGUGAACGGAGGUGGGAACCCUUUGGGUGCACCAUCGACCGAUCCUGAUGUCUUCGGAUGGAUUUGAGUAAGAGCAUGGCUGUUGGGACCCGAAAGAUGGUGAACUAUGCUUGAAUAGGGUGAAGCCAGAGGAAACUCUGGUGGAGGCUCGCAGCGGUUCUGACGUGCAAAUCGAUCGUCAAAUUUGGGCAUAGGGGCGAAAGACUAAUCGAACUAUCUAGUAGCUGGUUCCUGCCAAG
This 910-nucleotide ribosomal RNA is filed under the name Tintelnotia destructans. RNAcentral's name for it is "eukaryotic LSU rRNA". It matches the Rfam family "Eukaryotic large subunit ribosomal RNA", at positions 36 to 965 of the family's 3401-position model. The record is from RNAcentral. Lineage: Eukaryota; Fungi; Ascomycota; Dothideomycetes; Pleosporales; Phaeosphaeriaceae.